RNAcentral lists this ribosomal RNA (439 nucleotides) under uncultured bacterium. RNAcentral describes it as "bacterial SSU rRNA". It matches the Rfam family "Bacterial small subunit ribosomal RNA", at positions 29 to 504 of the family's 1533-position model. The record is from RNAcentral.
AACGAACGCUGGCGGCAGGCCUAACACAUGCAAGUCGAACGAGAAGCCACCUUCGGGUGGUGGACAGUGGCAGACGGGUGAGUAACGCGUGGGAACGUGCCUUUCGGUUCGGAAUAACCCAGGGAAACUUGGGCUAAUACCGGAUACGCCCUUCGGGGGAAAGAUUCAUUGCCGAAAGAUCGGCCCGCGUCGGAUUAGCUAGUUGGUGGGGUAAUGGCUCACCAAGGCGACGAUCCGUAGCUGGUCUGAGAGGAUGACCAGCCACACUGGGACUGAGACACGGCCCAGACUCCUACGGGAGGCAGCAGUGGGGAAUAUUGGACAAUGGGCGAAAGCCUGAUCCAGCCAUGCCGCGUGGGUGAAGAAGGCCUUAGGGUUGUAAACCCCUUUCAGCGGGGAAGAUAAUGACGGUACCCGCAGAAGAAUCCCGGCUAACUCC